Cinara cedri is the source of this 398-nucleotide non-coding RNA. NCBI's taxonomy places the organism in Eukaryota, Metazoa, Arthropoda, Insecta, Hemiptera, Aphididae. The record is from the annotation of a GenBank genome assembly.
CAAAACAAAUUUGUAUUGUAUUUUUUGAAUUGACACGGUUUUGCGUUUAUGUAUAAUGUUCAUUCGGAUUUUUUUGAUUAAUACAACAUUGAAUGAACAGUUUCCAGUUUAUAGAACUAUGAUGCAAUAACAUUUCAAUAUAAAUUCCGACUUAUGUAAAAAAUAUCGAGUUAAGCCAAUGUUUAAAAAAUCCUCACGGCACGUGUGUAUAGAAUCGGCCGUGAACUUUGAGAUGGAACGAAAAUAUUUAAUGGACAUGUAAAACCAUAUACUUAAUAUAGGUACUGGAGUAAAACGGUCGAUCCCAAGCGUAUAACUGCGUGUUUUUCUUUCAUAAAAUAUAAUAAAAGAAUCGAGAUAUCACAAUCAAUCCCAACUAUCAUAUUAUAUUAUAUUUU